AUUCUACUUGGAGAGCUUCACCGUGACACACGAGUGUUCCUUCCCACCCCAGACCUUUCUCGCUUCCCCUGGCGCAAACACCGGCAACUCUCCGGCGCGCUGGAUUAACAGACGCUCGCCCCUCUCAACUCCCCUAAGCGAGGUCGAAGCUCCUCCGCGCGUGCCGCGGCACCACUCCCGCCUAACCCACCCUCCGGCAACACUCGCCCACCAGCUCCCCAGUCCACCGGUCUAAGGAAGACGUGCGCGCGCCCCGCACCCGAGCCCCGGAGCUGGGGUUCUGCAGGGAGGGAAAGGCUGCUCCAGGGCUCCCUCCUCCAUCUCACUCCAGGCCGGCUCGCCGCCCACCCUGCCUGCGGAUCCCAGUACUCGCUGGGAGCCGGCCCUGCGCCUUCCUAUCAUGAAGACACCAUCCUCGCAUACCCAGCCCAGAACCCCAGCUACCCUCCACCCUGUAGACACCUCGCGGUUCCGCAGGAGGCGCCACGCCGCCCCUCCCCCACACCGCUCCCCCAGUUCUCGGGCCCCCACCAGAAAGUGUGCGCUACACGCCGCCUCGGCCAUCCUCCGGGACGUCCCCACUUGUCCGCGGGAGGUUGACAUAAUCUGGUGUCAAGAAGUGGGACCAAAGUGAGCUCACCUUGAUGGAUCGGUGACUCCUGGAAUCACAUGAAGUUCCCACAUUGAGCCCCUUUGAGCUCUCCAAUCCUACAGCUCACCUUUUCUGUCAUGGUGAAUCUCCUCUCAGGUUCUUGAACUCCCUCAUUUUGGGCUGCCCACCUGUGAAGAAGAUUGAGGUGGAAUAAGAGCAAAACCUCAAGUGGGGCCAUUUUUGCUUCAGAAUGAAAUAGAAAAAGGCCACAGCUGAACUACAUUUUCUAGCAAUCCUCAGAAUAAGAUGUGGUCAUUGACUGAAUUCUGGACAAUGGAAUGGAGUAGAGUGAAAUACAUCACUCCUAGUGACAAGGAGGCACUCAAGCAUGAGUUACAACACAACCGACCUGGAAUACAGCUGAAAAGAUUGAAGCAACAGGUUCGCAGGGGAAGGCCUUUACAGCUUCUUUCGACUCUGACAUUUCAGGAUCAGCACAAUUCUCCCCUAUUUACUGCUGAAGCAAUCAACUGGGAUUAUACAAAAAAAUUAUUUGUAUUGAA
Molecule: long non-coding RNA, 1155 nt
Filed under: Homo sapiens (human)
Lineage: Eukaryota; Metazoa; Chordata; Mammalia; Primates; Hominidae
Description: HSALNT0321070
Source: RNAcentral